GACGAACGCUGGCGGCGUGCUUAACACAUGCAAGUCGAGCGGAAAGGCCCUUCGGGGUACUCGAGCGGCGAACGGGUGAGUAACACGUGAGUAAUCUGCCCCAUGCUUCGGGAUAGCCAGCCGAAAGGCUGAUUAAUACCGGAUAUGACACUCUCCCGCAUGGGAUGGGUGUGGAAAGUUUUUUCGGCGUGGGAUGUGCUCGCGGCCUAUCAGCUUGUUGGUGGGGUAAUGGCCUACCAAGGCUUCGACGGGUAGCCGGCCUGAGAGGGUGACCGGCCACGCUGGGACUGAGACACGGCCCAGACUCCUACGGGAGGCAGCAGUGGGGAAUAUUGGACAAUGGGCGGAAGCCUGAUCCAGCAACGCCGCGUGAGGGAUGACGGCCUUCGGGUUGUAAGCCUCUUUCAGCACAGACGAAGCGCAAGUGACGGUAUGUGCAGAAGAAGGACCGGCCAACUACGUGCCAGCCGCCGCCGUAA
Molecule: ribosomal RNA, 479 nt
Filed under: uncultured bacterium
Lineage: Bacteria
Description: partial 16S ribosomal RNA
Rfam family: Bacterial small subunit ribosomal RNA
Source: RNAcentral